Non-coding RNA from Peromyscus maniculatus bairdii (prairie deer mouse), 710 nucleotides. NCBI's taxonomy places the organism in Eukaryota, Metazoa, Chordata, Mammalia, Rodentia, Cricetidae. The record is from RefSeq and is a predicted model, not a curated record.
GCAGCCUCCUCCUCCACCAUCUCCUCCUCUGGGGAAUCCUGGGGAAAACCCUUGCAUCACCCGCCCCUGGGCCUGUGUCUCAUUCGUGACAUUGAAACAGAAUGACGGUCAAGGUGCCUCAACGGCAAGAGGUAGAAAUAGCAUCUAGAUGUGGCUGAAGGAAAGCUAGAAGAAACAGCGAGGGUGGGCACAGCUCUGGAGACAGGGCGGGAAGGCAGUCUGGGAUAGUCCUGAUGUUCAUUGUUCUUUGUGGCCAAGGAGGUGACAUACCUGUGACAUCUGUGGGCCCUAGGUACCACCCACUGUCUUCACCACCAUCAGGUACCUGGGCACCUAACUCCUCAAAGUGACUUUUUCAUGCAGAAAGCAUUUAUUGAACAACUGCUGUGUUCAGCCCUAUGCUGGUCUUAGGGUUUGCACAUAUGUGUGCGUGUGCGUGUGUGUGCGUGUGUGUGUGUGUGUGUGUGUGUAUAGUGUGGGGGGUCACCACAGUUGGUACUUUGCCAGUGAACAGGACAGAACAGUCAGAAAGUGCCAGACUUCAGCUAGGAAUGUGGCUGCCUGGGAUCCUGGGUUGGAUCCUCAGCACUGGCAUGUGCUUGUACUCCCAGCACUUGGGAGAUGGAACCAGACAGGUCAAGAUCACUCCUAGUCAUAGCCAGUUUGAGGCUAGCUUGUGAUACCUGAGAUCCUAUCUCAAAUAAAUAAGA